GGCAAGAUAGCCGAAUUGGUUACGGCGUGAGGAUAAGGUCACAUUAGCAGCUGUUUCCUCAGGAGCAAUCCGCGUGGGUUCAAAUCCCACUCUUGUCG
Non-coding RNA from Hypoxylon fuscum, 98 nucleotides. NCBI's taxonomy places the organism in Eukaryota, Fungi, Ascomycota, Sordariomycetes, Xylariales, Hypoxylaceae. The record is from the annotation of a GenBank genome assembly.